This 2217-nucleotide long non-coding RNA is filed under the name Panax ginseng (ginseng). Its description in RNAcentral is "long non-coding RNA (PGIN_LNC009517)". Lineage: Eukaryota; Viridiplantae; Streptophyta; Magnoliopsida; Apiales; Araliaceae. The record is from RNAcentral.
ACUUGUUGGGGCAAUAAUCCAAGCAAUAUUAGCCCCUCAUAUCAACCAAACCAUUUGCAUCAAUUAUUUUCAAGAAUUAAAGAGAGAGAAAGUUCAUCCAUGGAAGAAGGAAGAAGAAGAAGAAGAAGGAAGGCUUAAGAAAAAGGUAUGAAAAUUUCCUAAAUUCAAAACUCUUGUUAGUUUAAAAGUGUUUUGAUAUGGUGUUUUAGAUCAAGUGUUGAACUUAUGAUUUUGAUCCAUAUGAGGGAAGAUCUACAUGAUAUAUGAUAUUUUAUGGUUAGAUCUUGCCAUUUUUAGGGUUGAUAGGCUUGAACAAAGAAGAAUAACCAAAACAGUUUUUUUUGUUUUAAAUGAGUUAGUGGACUGCUGCCCUAAAACAGAAAAUUUCGGAUUUGUUAGAGUGCUCUAAAAAUUCUGGACUUGUGAUAUGUUAUAGUACACUCAAUAAGCUUUCCAUAGACUCCAAAACGGACUAAAUCCGACAUCGGAGGAGGGAGUUAUGGGAUUUCUCCCAAACUACACAAAGUUAAGAAAACUGUGAAAAGGACAGUUUUGGAACAGUCACUUCCGGGCUAAAUUCCGGGAGCUAAACAUAUCCAAAUAUGGAUUGUGAUAUAUGAAAACUGUAGUUCGGAAAGAUACGAAUCCAACAAAAUUGACGGAUCAUUAAUCGGAGUUACAGAUUUCGUUUUAUUUAAGUUUUGGUGAAGGACUCCAAAACUGCCAAAGUGCAAAAAGUUUCUGGCCAAAAUUUUCCGAGGGCUGUUUUGGACAUUUAGUUAAUGAGAAAAAUUACAGGCUUUUGGGAAAUGAAAAUAUAUGGUAAUAUGUAGCUCGUGUCCAAAAAUGAGCUAAUUCCGGCUUAAAACGACCAAGUUAUGACCAUUUCAAUUUUUGUGAUUUUCCGACGGAAAUCGCUAUAACCGGAGUUCUACAACUCCGAUUGCCACGAAAUUUAAAAUGGAGCAUCACGUUAACAUAUAUAAGGUUAUGUCAAAAGAUGGGCAUCUCUGGAGUUAAGCACGAGGUAGCUAAUUUUCUUAAGUCACGCACUAAUUAUGAUUUUUGAAAAAUAGUAAAAGAAAUUGAAAAAUUACGGAAAAAUAUUUUUUAUGUAUGAAAUACAUGUAUAUAUGUUUGACCAAAGGAUAAAAAAAUAAUAAGUUGAUUUGGUAUUUUUCGUGAAAAAGAAUAGUGAUUUCGGGAUACUGAAAUAAAAUCCGUCUUACUGAAAUGGUAUUUCGGUUUACUAAGAUGUUAUCUAAUUUACUAGGAUAACAUAUAAAAAUGAAUAACUUAUAAGUAUAAGUUAUGAUGUGAUUAAAAGAAUAUCAAAGUAUAAUAAUAAUAUUAAGACUUAAAACUAAUGUCUAAUACUUAACUAUAUGUUAUGACUAACCGAAAGAUCUAUUAUAGGUUUUAUAUGCUGUAUAGACUGAUAGGAUUAUGUGUUUAAGUUAUUUUAUAACGGUGAUGAUAUUAUUCUAAUAUUGGAGAUCUAUAUUAUUAAUAUUAGGUCUUCAGGAGAAGCGUAUUAUAUUGCGUUACGGUAAUCAACGGUUCAGGCAAGUUUUUCAAGUUCUUUUUACUUAAACUCUUUUAAGAGUGGUUUCAGACAGAUAUGCUUAUGAAUUGUACUCUGUACAUAUUGCAUGUAUUCAUCAGGUAUGAAAGGCUGAUCACCUUCAUUACCAGUCAGUUCAGAUAUAAUUGUUAUGUUCAUUUUCAAUGUUCAUUCAGCUUUGAAAUUUUGUUCAUGCUAAUUCACAACUACAUUGUGAAGGAUAGCCAGCUUAUUAUUCAAACUCUUUCAAUCAUGAUAUAUCUUUACAUUGUUUUUAAACUUGCUGGGCAACUUUCAUGCUCACCCUUGCUAUAUCAUGAUAAAACAUUGCAGAUAAGGCGAAUACGGCCAGUUACAGGAAAAGAAAAAUGCCAAGUUCAGCUUGGGAUAGAAUGUACAGCUAAUUUGUAAAAGUAUAGUUGAAGAAUAGUAUUGUUAUGUGUUAGAUAGUUUCUGAAUUGUGUAUAAGUUAAGGUUACUCGACCUUGGGGAAUAGUGUGUAAUGUAAUGUAUAAACAAUUUAUGUUUAUAUCUUCCGCAACAGUUGUAGAAAUAGCGAACCGGAUCCGCGGCGAUUCGGGACCCGGAUUCGGGGCUGCUACAAAAAUAGAUAUCGAUAUUGAUACUGGUAUAUUAUUUUUUUUAUAUUAUUA